RNAcentral lists this transfer RNA (73 nucleotides) under Ovis aries (sheep). It matches the Rfam family "tRNA". Rfam says of the family: Transfer RNA (tRNA) molecules are approximately 80 nucleotides in length. Their secondary structure includes four short double-helical elements and three loops (D, anti-codon, and T loops). Lineage: Eukaryota; Metazoa; Chordata; Mammalia; Artiodactyla; Bovidae. The record is from Rfam by way of RNAcentral.
UCCCUGGUGGUCCAGUGGUUAAGAUUCUGUGCUCCCCAUGCAGAGGGCACAGGUUCGAUCCCUGGCUGGGGAA